GAUGAACGCUAGCGACAGGCUUAACACAUGCAAGUCGAGGGGCAGCACAGGGCAGCAAUGUUUGGGUGGCGACCGGCGCACGGGUGCGUAACGCGUAUGCAACCAACCCGGGGGCGGAGGACAGCCCGGCGAAAGUCGGAUUAAUACUCCAUGGUACAUUGAAUCUGCAUGGAUUUGAUGUUAAAGAUAUAUCACCCCCGGACGGGCAUGCGUUCCAUUAGACAGUUGGCGGGGUAACGGCCCACCAAGUCAUCGAUGGAUAGGGGUUCUGAGAGGAAUGUCCCCCACACCGGUACUGAGACACGGACCGGACUCCUACGGGAGGCAGCAGUGAGGAAUAUUGGUCAAUGGGCGGGAGCCUGAACCAGCCAAGUCGCGUGAAGGAAGACGGAUCUAUGGUUUGUAAACUUCUUUUGCAGGGGAAUAAAGGCCGGGACGUGUCCCGGGUUGCAGGUACCCUGCGAAUAAGCAUCGGCUAACUCCGUGCCAGCAGCCGCGGUAAUACGGAGGAUGCGAGCGUUAUCCGGAUUUAUUGGGUUUAAAGGGUGCGUAGGUGGACGAAAGGGUCAGUGGUGAAAUAUUCCCGCUCAACGGGAAGACUGCCAUUGAAACCGUUUGUCUUGAGUUCGUUUGAGGUAUGCGGAAUGCGUGGUGUAGCGGUGAAAUGCAUAGAUAUCACGCAGAACUCCGAUAGCGAAGGCAGCAUGCCAAACCGAAACUGACACUGAAGCACGAAAGCGUGGGUAUCAAACAGGAUUAGAUACCCUGGUAGUCCACGCUGUAAACGAUGAUUACUAGGAAUUUGCGAUACACAGUAAGUUCUACAGCGAAAGCGUUAAGUAAUCCACCUGGGGAGUACGCCGGCAACGGUGAAACUCAAAGGAAUUGACGGGGGCCCGCACAAGCGGAGGAACAUGUGGUUUAAUUCGAUGAUACGCGAGGAACCUUACCCGGGUUUGAACGCAUUUUGACAGGGGCGGAAACGUCCUCUCCGGCAACGGCAAUUUGCGAGGUGCUGCAUGGUUGUCGUCAGCUCGUGCCGUGAGGUGUCGGCUUAAGUGCCAUAACGAGCGCAACCCCUAUCGUCAGUUACCAGCACGUAAAGGUGGGGACUCCGGCGAGACUGCCCGCGUAAGCGGUGAGGAAGGCGGGGAUGACGUCAAAUCAGCACGGCCCUUACAUCCGGGGCGACACACGUGUUACAAUGGCAGGGACAAAGGGCAGCCACUCAGCGAUGAGGCGCAAAUCCCGUAAACCCUGUCUCAGUUCGGAUCGGAGUCUGCAACUCGACUCCGUGAAGCCGGAUUCGCUAGUAAUCGCGCAUCAGCCAUGGCGCGGUGAAUACGUUCCCGGGCCUU
This 1358-nucleotide ribosomal RNA is filed under the name uncultured Bacteroidales bacterium. RNAcentral's name for it is "bacterial SSU rRNA". It matches the Rfam family "Bacterial small subunit ribosomal RNA", at positions 28 to 1382 of the family's 1533-position model. Lineage: Bacteria; Pseudomonadati; Bacteroidota; Bacteroidia; Bacteroidales. The record is from RNAcentral.